GGUGUUUUGAAUCCUAGAGACAUUUCUCUAACAAGAGUUGCCCCUCACCCAGCAGGCCUCCCCCCGGAGAAUCAAAAUUGUGUGAUGAGAAGGCAGGGCCUUGGGCCGCUGUGUCGGACUGUCCGGGUUCAAACCUUAGCUUAUACAAGUUACCUAAUAGUCUCCGUGUCUCAGUUUCCGCAUCUGUAAGGUGGGCAUGGCAAGAGUAUCCCAUAGGACUGUUUGCGACUAAUGAGGUAAUAACACUUAAUAAAACUCCGGGCUCAGUAAAUACUCUCAUCACAGGACCUUACUCAAGAGGCCUCUCAUCUAGUUCUCCCCGCGAUGAAAUGACGUUCUCUCCCCUUCUGGUGCCGUUGUUACCAGGCCAGCAUUUACACAGCCUUUCUUCUGGCCUCUGAACUCCGGGUUCGGCAAGAGGAGAAUGCUCAGCCCCUUCCCCAGGACUAUGGAGACCACAACAGUGUCCACUACCAACAAUGGGUUCAACUUUCUCCAAGCAACUAGAAUAAGCCAGACCGGGCUGGUGGCUGGGAGAUCAGGAGUGGUCCAGAUAGCUGCUGUCAAGGCUCCUCCUGUUUAUGGGCGAAGACACACCAGCCAACCUGCAAUGAGGCCAGGGUCUCCGGAAGCUGCUCGGGCAGGGAAAGGAUCCCACCCAGCCAGAGAGGGUCUCCCUGAGGACACUUUAUUCUGGGAAGAAAGUCACCUGCUUCCAGGAGGAAAGAGAGAUGGGACUAAGCUUUAGUCAUCACCUCUCUUGGCCAAACACUGUGCUGGAUAAUUUAUAUGCGCUCUUUCAUUCCAUCCUUAUAAAAACCUUCGGAUCAGGAUUAAGCCCAUUUUACAGAUGAACAAAGGAAGGUUCAGGGUGCUGAAAGCCAUGCUAUGGGGUAGAGUGGAGACCAACAAGUCUGCGUGACCCUGGAGCCAAUGCUCUCAGCACCCAGCAGAAGGGAAAUGCAGGAACAGCCGACACUUGGAAACUGGCUCAGGAUCUGGGUCCUGAUGACCUCUUCUGUGUCCUCCUGGUCUCUCCUUCUCUGGCCAACAACAGAACUACCCCUUUAAGAGACACAACCCCUCUGAAAGGGGCUGGUUUCCAUCCAUUUUUA
Molecule: long non-coding RNA, 1115 nt
Filed under: Mustela putorius furo (domestic ferret)
Lineage: Eukaryota; Metazoa; Chordata; Mammalia; Carnivora; Mustelidae
Description: lncRNA (ENSMPUG00000031496.1)
Source: RNAcentral